Long non-coding RNA from Ictalurus punctatus (channel catfish), 3274 nucleotides. The record is from Ensembl. Lineage: Eukaryota; Metazoa; Chordata; Actinopteri; Siluriformes; Ictaluridae.
CUGCUGUAGUGGUAUGGAUAUGUUACGGGCAAGACUUUAGGGUGAAUUAUGUAGUACACAACAAUCAAACAUGCAUUUAUUUUUUUUUUUUUACAUGCUCACCAUAAGGCACACCGGAACCAAUAUGAAACAUAAAUGGAGAAAGUAUAUUAGGCCACAGAAGUAGUUAAUGCUAGUUCACUGGUCUUCUAACAAAAACAAUAUAAAAUUAUUUUCGAAAAAGUUUGAGUAAGUAAUCCAUAAAUGUUGUUUCUUGGGGGCUAGCAAGGCGUAAUCUUCGGACAUUGUCUUUGAUUGAGUCUUAAAUCCAUAAUAGUUUUGGUUGAUCGUGAACCGCAUGUAGCAGCAAUGUGAGCCAAUGAAUUUCCCCAGUGCUCCUCUGGGGCAGGGUGACUGAGAACCGUUUACUGCAGACUCUCCAGUUCUACCGAAACAUUUCAGUAGCAUGACCGACCAUUCGCUGUCAUCUUAACCAAAUGCUAAAAGCUGUAGGAAACUAAAUGUCUUCAUAAAACAAACCCAACAUUCUGAACCGCGCUAGGUGUUGGUCACUUUCUGUUCACUCGCAUCAUAUCAGUGACCGCAUCAUUUGGUUCCUUUAUGUAAAAUGGACACUUCACAUAUGUGUAUGAUCUUUAAAGGGUUUACAUUAAUUAUUUAGUUUCUACUCAGUCCUUGUCACAGUAGGUUUGAAUUGGACACACAAUGAAAGUUUAUGGAUUGUUGAUUGCAGCGUUGUAGCAUGACCCAUUUCCCUUUUUAUUUUUGUUUUCCCCCCUUUCCCUAAACCCUAAACCGUUACCUUGUGUUGGCGUUUGUCUCUAAAUCACGAGCUGAGCGAAUGCCCUCGGGAAUGCAGAUAGACAGAACAUCUGGCUUGACUUCAUAUAAGUGAAGUAUGCUGUUCGUACAUCAAACUACAGACUACACUGAAUCUGUUCAGUGGAGCAGAAGAUAAUGACUGAUUCUCAUAAGCUAUACAAGUUUUGGUAACUUUUACUUAAAGGCAGUGAUUAAUAGUUAUUUGACUCCUACAUAAAACCCACAUAAGCAUGUAUUAAGGCGUCUAACAAACGGGUGUAAUGAUUGCUUUCAUAACCCCAUAGUGUCAAGUGAGAGAUAUUUGUUGACAUAAAUCUGUGCUGCGUUAGAUCGUCAUGACAACUGACUUUGACUUUGCAGUUCAGUGUACCUAUAGUAUAUUUCUAUUAAUAUUUCCGGGAAUGCCAUGACACUGUCAUGACUGAUCAUAUUUUCAUCUUUGGUAAGUUCUUUAGUCGUUGAAUAUUUGAGCUUGUUCUAAAUCUUGUAACAGUCUCAGCACCCUAAUUGACAGUUAUAUGUAAUUACCCUGACUUCACAUCAACGUUAUAUAACUCUCACAUACCAGAAGUACUCUGAGCUGCAAAGUAUGCAUGAAUGAUGAAUGCAAGUCAUCAUCAGAACAAGCUAACGUCAGUAAAAAUUGAAUGAGGUAUGUCGUCAACUUGAUAUCAGGAUGAACAAAAGCAGACCUUUGACAGUUGGCUCCUGUUGGAAAAAGCCUUUAUGGUCAAGCUCUAGUUACUGGUAAAAUGUUGGUGUUACCAAAGGUUUUUUUUCCCUCUUGUUUAAGAGAAAGUGUAAUAUUAUCAGUAACUCAUGAGGGCAGUUUUUGUUUUUUGUUUUUGUUUGUUUGUUUUUUUUUUGUUUGUUUGUUUUUUUGUUUUUUAUAAAGAGUACAAAAUUAUUAUAUUAAAAAAAAAAAAAAGCCAGAGAAUGUAAUUCAAGUCUUGGUAUGAGAAAGAUUUGUCUUUCUCUUCUAUAGAUAAAUAAUCAGCUCAAAAUGCAAGCUAGUGGAAGAAAUGUAAAGUGUGCAAAGCCUUCCCCAGUGCAGCAUAGCUCUUUCAUAAAUUGAGAUGUUUUCCAAGGUGUGUGUGCGUGAGGGUGUGUAAGUGUUUGACUUGAUCACCUUGUGGUCCUCAGAAGCACGGAUAUCUGAAGCUUAGUAGCAGAACCUUUACCCUGGUGAGCUCAGUCUCUUUUCCCAGUCUCAGCCAAGACACACAGAAGUACAGUGUUCUGCCCAGCCUGACCCGCUGCCCGUUGGCCGUUUUACUCCGCACAUACCAACAGUAGAAUUGUUCACUUAAAGAGUAAAAGCUCAGAAUAGAUUGUAGGAGACGUGAGGAAGUUUUACUCGGGACCUUGUCGCUGCUUCUUAGGCGGAGUUUUCUGUAAGAGACUUCACGCCUCAUGACUGAUUUAUCUUAAGAGACAACUUUUUUUUUUUUCUUUUUCUUUUUUUUUUUUUUUUUUUUUUUUGAGUGUCUUCUCCUCAAACAUCAAUUUUCUAUCAGUGGUGUUUCACUGGCGUGAACGUUCAUCUCAUGAAUAUUUCUAUGCACAUUUCAUACUUAGCAUUAUAACAGGACUUGGUUCUUCAAAGGGAAACAAUCUUAUUCCGUUACUAGGAGGAUCUGAAAAUCUUUUGUUCAUACCAAAGUCUUUAAAGGUUGAGUGUUUUGUUUUUAUUUUAUUUUUUUUUUAAGUAACUUGCUGUGUGAUGAAUGGUGGUGAUAUAAAUAGGAGCGUGAAUCUGCCUUCCUUUAUAAGGGGAAAUGCCUUGUAAUAUGGUUUAGUUUUGUAAGAGUAGAUUUCUAUAGAGUAGAGAGAGAUACAGAGGAGAGAAUAUAAUAAUCACAGCUGUCUAUGGGGAUGUGUGCAACUGUUCAGCUAGCAUUAUGCGCUAAAUAAUUAGAAACUUGGGGCAGCAUAUCUGUCACAGGAAUCUCUGAUUCAUAUCUGAGUUGCUUUGUGUUUUUAAUUAGGGUUAGCUGUUUGUGUAAACAGCGUUAAAGCACAACUGCGGUGAGUGUCACUCUGUUAAUUUAUUCUAAUCAUUCGUUGGUUUAUAAUUAUUGUUUUAUUUCCCCCCUCUGGACAAUGUGCAAGACCUUCUUCAGAGAGCUGCUACUGUGUGCAUUUCUUUUCUGUCUGUUUGGGUUUUGUUUUUGUUUUUUUUCUUGUUUCUUCAUCUCCUCCUCUUCCUUGUCUUCUGCACAGUCCUGAACUGGAAGCAGACCCACGAGGAGUCUGUCACGUGUGACAUAUGCAAUAAAAAGGCGAGACGGCGAGAGCCCCAAGAGGCUGGACACAGUUUGCAAUGCAAGCACAACGUGCACACGCCACCAUUUUUAUGCAGGAAAAAAAAAGUUUAUAUCAAAGUUCACUCUUUGUGCUUAAUAUUGCUUUUUAAAAUUGUAAAAUAAAGGCUUUUUUUUUUUUCUUAAAA